UUCCAGACUCCUACGGGAGGCAGCAGUGGGGGAUAUUGCACAAUGGGGGGAACCCUGAUGCAGCGACGCCGCGUGGGUGAAGAAGCGCCUCGGCGCGUAAAGCCCUGUCAGCAGGGAAGAAAAUGACGGUACCUGAAGAAGAAGCCCCGGCUAACUACGUGCCAGCAGCCGCGGGAAUACGUAGGGGGCAAGCGUUAUCCGGAUUUACUGGGGGUGAAGGGGGCGCAGACGGCGAUGCAAGCCAGGAGUGAAAGCCCGGGGCCCAACCCCGGGACUGCUCUUGGAACUGCGUGGCUGGAGUGCAGGAGGGGCAGGCGGAAUUCCUGGUGUAGCGGUGAAAUGCGUAGAUAUCAGGAGGAACACCGGUGGCGAAGGCGGCCUGCUGGACUGCAACUGACGUUGAGGCCCGAAAGCGUGGGGAGCAAACAGGAUUAGAUACCCUAGUACC
This 448-nucleotide ribosomal RNA is filed under the name uncultured bacterium. RNAcentral's name for it is "partial 16S ribosomal RNA". It matches the Rfam family "Bacterial small subunit ribosomal RNA", at positions 329 to 794 of the family's 1533-position model. The record is from RNAcentral.